RNAcentral lists this ribosomal RNA (433 nucleotides) under uncultured bacterium. RNAcentral's name for it is "partial 16S ribosomal RNA". It matches the Rfam family "Bacterial small subunit ribosomal RNA", at positions 29 to 507 of the family's 1533-position model. The record is from RNAcentral.
AGCGAACGCUGGCGGCAGGCCUAACACAUGCAAGUCGAACGAACUCUUCGGAGUUAGUGGCGGACGGGUGAGUAACGCGUGGGAACGUGCCUUUUGGUUCGGAAUAACUCAGGGAAACUUGUGCUAAUACCGAAUGUGCCCUUCGGGGGAAAGAUUUAUCGCCAUUGGAGCGGCCCGCGUCGGAUUAGCUAGUUGGUGGGGUAACGGCUCACCAAGGCGACGAUCAGUAGCUGGUCUGAGAGGAUGACCAGCCACACUGGGACUGAGACACGGCCCAGACUCCUACGGGAGGCAGCAGUGGGGAAUAUUGCGCAAUGGGCGAAAGCCUGACGCAGCCAUGCCGCGUGAAUGAUGAAGGUCUUAGGAUUGUAAAAUUCUUUUACCGGGGAUGAUAAUGACGGUACCCGGAGAAGAAGCCCCGGCUAACUUCGUG